AGAACGAUAUCGGGAGAGAUCGCUGGCCUUGUUGAUAGGUGCAGCGACGCCGAAGGAGCAACCGCCCCGGAAACUCUCAGGCAAAUGGACCGGUAUCGAUCA
RNAcentral lists this non-coding RNA (102 nucleotides) under Nitrincola sp. A-D6. Its description in RNAcentral is "Glycine riboswitch aptamer". It matches the Rfam family "Glycine riboswitch aptamer". Rfam says of the family: This family represents the bacterial glycine riboswitch. Glycine riboswitches usually consist of two metabolite-binding aptamers domains with similar structures in tandem. Lineage: Bacteria; Pseudomonadati; Pseudomonadota; Gammaproteobacteria; Oceanospirillales; Oceanospirillaceae. The record is from Rfam by way of RNAcentral. RNAcentral also lists the same sequence under 1 other name.